GGAGCCAUCUUGGGACUGCCGCCACACCCUCUCCCACAUCCUUUGUGACUGUAUAGCUCAGAAUGGCUCCCUACACUUAAUAAUAUAUGUUGAACACAAAAAUGAAUUGGUCAUGUAUCUCCUGAAUACAUAUUGCCUUCCAUACAUGAUCAUGGCUACGGAAGACUCCAAGAUGAAGAAAUUGUGGUCCUCACUCUUGAAAGCACAUAAUCGGCAGAUGUGAGCUUAACCUUACCAAGAUAAAUGAGUAGGUUUGAGUGUUUCAAGACCUUUUGAACAGGGUUUUGUGUAACCAAGAAUGGCUUUGACCUAACGCCUAUGUACCCAAGGAUGGCCUAUAACUCCUGACUCUCUUACCUUCACCUCACACUCACUGGAGCAUUGUAAGCAUAUGCCUCUAUAACCAGCUUAGCACAAAAAAUUAUACACGAAGUUAUUUUGCAUUUAUUUUCCAUUUUUAUAACACAUUCAAGCCUGAUAUACUUUGAAACAAAUUUCCGUUCAUUUCUGGUCAUUUAUGUUAAAGGUCACAAUGACUAAUUUGAGGACCUAAUCAAACCUACACAAGCUCUACAUUUUUCUCUACUUUUCAAAGUAGUUUUUAAAAAAUGUUAAAAGAGUGACAAUAUUUGUGCUAUGAAAAGCUUAUGUGAAAUUGGGAUUUUAGUGUCCAUAACUAACAUAACCACAGUGACAUCCACCCUUGCUGUCCCAAGUGAGAACAUUUAUUCUUAAAGGCCAAAAAAUAUCCCACUAUGUCUGUAACAGUCCCCUAUAAAUCCUUCUGUCAACGGACAUUUGGGUUAAUUCCACACUUCUGCUAUUGUGAGUAACACCACAAUGAACACAGAGGUGAAGAUGUAUCUUAAAAUUGCUGAUUCCAAAUCUCCAAGCAUGAUUUCUAGGUCAUAUUGUAAUUCUGUUCUCAGGGUUUGGUUUCCAAAGAACCUGCUUUCAGAUGGAUGUGUGCCUAUAAUAGCAGUGCUUGGGAGGUAGAUGCAAGAAGAAUAGUUCAGAAUCAUCCUUGCUUCAGACCAAGGCUGAAGAAUAAAAUGAAAGAAAGCCUCAUAUGAGUCCUAUGGUGGUUGCACUAAUAAACAUUAUUAUCAGGACAUUACUCAGUUUUGUUAUUCUUCCAAUAUUACCAGACUAUUAAUAGAACAUUCAAAAAUGUAGCUGCAUCUAAACUUCAAUAUUUCCAAUAUUUUGAAUGUGUGUUUGACAAGAGAGAGAGAGAGCAGUGAGAAUGUUUUAUUCAACUGUUGAUGUGGAACCUUAAGUGUUUAGAUACAGGAAAGGUAGAGCUGAUUUGUACACAUGCCCGGGACUCUGCAAAUCAGAAGACCUGAAAGAAAGCAAACAGAAAAGUGGGAGGGGCUGAGGAGGUGAUGGGCAGGCAAAAACACAUUUAACUGAAGACUUUUAAGAGAGAAGAGAGAAAGAAGAAGGCAGGCAAAUGCAUAGAAAAGGACUGAGUAAAUUAGGGUCCCUGGAAGCAAAGUGGCUCUUAAGAAAGCUGCAUUUCCCACGUGUCAGAGAGAGGCAUGUAGAAGCACAGGAGGAUUAAUUGUCAUACUGUUACAUGCCGACACGACUGCUGUGUCAAUGUGUGUAUCAAACCAAUAGAAUACAAUUGUGCAUUCCAACAUGGUGGUGAGUUAUCACAUGUGACUUUUGAAUACUUCAGCUAUGGCUUGUCUACACUGACAUGUGCUCUAGGUAUGCAAGACUCAUUGGAUUUUGAACACUUACUAUGAAAAAAAAAAAGACUUUUCACUCUAAAUUACAUCUUCACUAAUUAUAUAUUUAAGAGUAAUAUUCUACUAUAUGCCGCUAAAUUAUAUAAAAGUUAUUAAAAUUAAUUUGCUCUCUCUAUUUAGAUUUUCAUAUGUGGCUACUGAACAUUUUCAAACCUUCAUGUGGCUCCUCUCUCAUUUCUGCGGCAAAGUGCUGCAUAGAAAAAGUGAGCAUCCUCAAGAGAGUUCAAGUAUGAAGCAGAUGAAUAAAGUCUUUAAUGGCAGAUAAUCAUGGCAUAAACAUUGGCAAAUCCAGGCACAGUGCCUUGGGGGCAUCCCUCAAGAGGAUUGGUACAUCCCACAGCAAUGUGGGGCUGCAUCAGAUUGUCCAAAGACAAUACUUCUUCAAAUCGAGCAGAUUUCAUGGAGAGAGUACAUACACCAUAGCACAGUAAUUUGAAAUAAUUUUAGUACUAGAAAAUUCCUAGUUUGGUACAUUAAAACAGGAUGAGUUUGAUGGAAUGGGGAAAAUACACUAUGGAGGUUGACAGAACCCACAGAGGUAGACUUUGAAAGUAAGCCAAAGUAUUUAAGAAAAACUUAGGCUAAGUUUAAAUCUGGUUUGACAUAAAACGGGGGAGCUGUUUAAUGAUGUUAAGAAAAAAUAAACUUUGAUGUGAUUCUUCUUCCACAUGGUUUGAAAUGUGACCAACAAUUCUCUCACAAUUCUCUCAUGACUAGACCAAUUGACAACUAGCUCACCAGAAGAGAAAUACCAAGGCAUUGCUGUGCAGUGUUUCGCUAUAGGGGGAUUACUUAGAAAGUCGCUGAAAGCUGCAUACAUAUAAAAAAACUUUUCUGGAGGAUGCAAAAGUGGCAUAGACAGAGACGUAUGACCCAUACAAAAAUGAGGCAACAGGAGGUGCAAUGCGCAUGCCUCACAGGCUUCACCAGAAGUCGCCCUAGUAACAAGGAUUUUCUAAGGAACUCACAUUUCUGGGCCGGUCCCACACUUCCUCAUCCUGACGAAGUUACUGGCUCCCGCCUCCAAAAUCAUCUGCCAAAACCAGUGGCCACCUGAUUCCCUGGAAAAACCUUCAGCUUUACCCUUUGUCUGGGAACCACUUUAUUUUUCUAUAGAAAGAGUGCAGGAGCUCCCAGUUUGGUGCCUUGUUUGAUUUGUUAGUUCUUCCCUCAGACCCAAGGUGAAGGAAAUGAGAUUUUGAAAGAACUCUUACUAAGAGCCUCAAGGUCUCCUAGGUGGGCACCUGCCAUUCUCUUUCAUCUUUUCCAAGUGCCAAAUUUGCAAUUUUGCCUGAAUCACCUCCCACUCUGCGCCUCUCUAGGCCUGUACUACCAGUGUGCACCGCCUGCCUGCGGGUUCUGUGCUACCCCUGAGCUCAUGCACCAUCAUUUAUGGACCUAGCUCUUGCUAUUUCUAUUCCCGCUGAAAUUUAGACUCAACGCUAAUGUUGCUAUCUGAGAGGAGGACAUUUAUGAAAGAGUCAGGAGAGUACGGCAAUCAUUAAAAAGUGUUUGACACAUAUUGUUCUUAGGGGUGGCCACUGAUUAGUUUUAUGAACUUGUGUUUUCUCAUCAGAGGCUAACUACUCCGUAGUAAUAUAUCAAAGUUAAGUCUUCAAAGUUGUCUAAAAUUCUUCAAUUCUUUAUUCUUCUUCAGAGCCUUAACUCGAGUGACUAAGAAGCAGUCUUGCUUACUGGGGUUUGGAGGUAAACAAGCCACUUGGUUAGCUGGCUUGAAGAAAGUGGAAUGAAGAGUUCUGAAAGACACCUGUGUCAUCCAAAUAACCCAUUCUCUGUACACACCCAGCACUUACCUGAUCUCAAGCUGGACAACUCCAAUUUGUCCCCAAAGAGAAUCCUACUCUCCAGUCACCAAAGAACAGAAGGGCUAGCUCAUGUUCUGCCAACGUUUCUUCCUGGACACGCCCUGCCUAUGUCUUUGGCUUUCACCAGUCAAGCACACAAUCUGCUUUUCGUUUUUGUUUUCAGUUAGUUCCUGAUCGUCUACAGACCUAUGUCCAUAAAAUAUUGGAAGUAAGGGGGAAAAUGCCUAGCCACAGUCUACAACUUUGUUUCAACUUACGCAGGCAGGAAGGCAGGUAAUUGAAAAUGAGGCUGAGAGUCUUAGCCAUUAGCCAGCAUCUGGCUACUGACACCUAAACGCAGCCUUUCAAGAGGGCUUAACGUCCUGAAAGUCAGUACCUCUAAAGUCAUGGAGCUGAUUAAUAAUGCCCCUGCCUGAGUCGGAAUUCCUGCUGAGGCUCUUGCUGGUGGUUGAAGAGUCUUCCUGCAGCUUUCAUAAAUUAGUUGAUAACUGAA
RNAcentral lists this small RNA (4079 nucleotides) under Rattus norvegicus (Norway rat). RNAcentral describes it as "uncharacterized LOC102547484". Lineage: Eukaryota; Metazoa; Chordata; Mammalia; Rodentia; Muridae. The record is from RNAcentral.